This 307-nucleotide long non-coding RNA is filed under the name Salvia miltiorrhiza (redroot sage). Its description in RNAcentral is "long non-coding RNA (SMIL_LNC005628)". Lineage: Eukaryota; Viridiplantae; Streptophyta; Magnoliopsida; Lamiales; Lamiaceae. The record is from RNAcentral.
AAUUCCAAGGACCUAAUCUUUCUACAAAAACUUUGAGGGCAUGAGACAUUUAAGAUCUAAUACAAAAUAGAUACAUAUAAAUUAGGGUAUUUCACCAGCCUUCCAGUGCUUCAUUUUGGGAAAUCUGAUGUCGAUGAUGUAAGAGAAUCGACGGUAACGGCUGCGACGUUCCUUCAACGGAGAAGAUGGCAGUGCCGCAGAGGUUAUGCUCGAUGAGUGAGAAGCAACUGCAUUUUGUGGGAGAGAUAAUAAUGGGUAAGAGGUUGCAGUUACCAAAAUCCAAAAAUUGUGGGAUUAUGGGUUAUUA